UGGGGAAUAUUGCACAAUGGGGGAAACCCUGAUGCAGCGACGCCGCGUGAACGAAGAAGGUAUUCGUAUCGUAAAGUUCUGUCCUAUGGGAAGAUAAUGACAGUACCAUAGAAGAAAGCUCCGGCUAAAUACGUGCCAGCAGCCGCGGUAAUACGUAUGGAGCGAGCGUUGUCCGGAAUUAUUGGGCGUAAAGGGUACGCAGGCGGUUUAAUAAGUCGAAUGUUAAAGAUCGGGGCUCAACCCCGUAAAGCAUUGGAAACUGAUAAACUUGAGUAGUGGAGAGGAAAGUAGAAUUCCUAGUGUAGUGGUGAAAUACGUAGAUAUUAGGAGGAAUACCAGUAGCGAAGGCGACUUUCUGGACACAAACUGACGCUGAGGUACGAAAGCGUGGGGAGCAAACAGG
Molecule: ribosomal RNA, 403 nt
Filed under: bacterium
Lineage: Bacteria
Also listed under: 1 other name
Description: partial 16S ribosomal RNA
Rfam family: Bacterial small subunit ribosomal RNA
Source: RNAcentral